RNAcentral lists this ribosomal RNA (253 nucleotides) under uncultured bacterium. Its description in RNAcentral is "partial 16S ribosomal RNA". It matches the Rfam family "Bacterial small subunit ribosomal RNA", at positions 524 to 776 of the family's 1533-position model. The record is from RNAcentral.
UACGUAGGGAGCAAGCGUUGUCCGGAAUCAUUGGGCGUAAAGCGCGCGUAGGUGGCUUCGUAAGUCCGUUGUGAAAGUCAAAGGCUCAACCUUUGAAAGCCGAUGGAUACUGCGGAGCUAGAGUACGGAAGAGGCGAGUGGAAUUCCUGGUGUAGCGGUGGAAUGCGCAGAUAUCAGGAGGAACACCAAUAGCAAAGGCAGCUCGCUGGGACGUUACUGACACUGAGGCGCGAAAGCGUGGGGAGCGAACAGG